CCUGUAGAGGCAAGUAGAAGCAGAAAAAUAAAAUCCUGCUACUGAGCUGAAAGUUUUCUGCGUCAUUGUUUCUACUACAGCAUCCCGUUCCUGGCCGAUACACCUCAACACAUGGAUGCCAGCAGGGGAGGACAUCCACACCACUGACCCGUGAACCUGUCAAACCAGCCCGGCAACCCUACCUCAAUGGCAAACAAGGGCGGGAUGUGCGUUUUUCUCUCGGUCCAGCAGCAGUUCAGACAUUUGGCAAGAGUGACAAGGCACAACAACACCUUUGCUCCAGCGGUUAGCCUGAUACAAACGACCAGAGGAAGAGCCGCACUGGAGCAACUGAGGAAGCCACUGAGCUCCAUCCAGAGUCUCUGAGAGCAACUUAUCUGUCAGCACCAUUAUGAGCCUCUCAUAUCUUGGCCUGCACCUGUCUUUGGCAGUCCAGGAGUUUGGUGAGCCCCCCUCUCCAGACUCCCCACCACCCUCCGUCCUCAAGAGCUGAGGAGAGGCCUCGGGAUCCCCAUUCAUGGAGGAUGAUCGACAGGGCAGCAGUCAGAAGAAAAGGCAGCUGUGAUGAGAGACAGAAAGAAAGGAGGGUGUACCGGUGUCCCCUUUGUGCUUUUAACUACCUCCCCUCUUGUCUUCCAUAGCCAUGUCCACACAAUAGAGUCUUAACAGGAGCUGUCAGCGGACCACACUAGUGUGACCACUGUGGGCACCGGGGUUAGCCGGCAUCACAUUAGCUCUGUGUUUGUACGGCACUGAAAGCCAGCUAGCUACAGUUUAAAGCAAGUUUUGUGGUGUUUUCUAUAGGAGCUUUCAGCUCUGUGUUUACCCACACAGAACUCCAAAGAGGCAGAGCGCGUCACAUCAUUGAAGAAACGGGGAGGCUCUAAAAUGCUUGACAAAAAAAAAAAGAAGUAAGGUGUCCAGCGGGGGCCUCUACUUUGCACCUGAGGUUUGAUCAAUAUAGUCAAGUGAUGACAUGUCAAUUUGCACUGACAGAAAAGAGAUGGCGAAGCCAUGAAUGGAGGCGCUGAAAGAUGGCAGCAGGUGAAUUGUUCUGACAGCGGAUAGAGUGUAUCAACGUUCUGCUUUUAAGUGUGUGUUUGCCUCCCCGCCGCCACUCAGUCAGUAUUUCCUUACAUUAGGAGCACUGUUUAACCAGUGCUUGUGAAACCGAUACUCUUUGCCGUCCCCAUUGUGCUUUUUGCUGUUGGGAUAAUGCAAUGUUUAUGAGUUAUUGCACUGUACACACAGCCACGAGCCAGCUGCAGCCAUUAUUUGAUGUUUGAUACAUGUAAUAUGGCCACAAAGAGCUUUAAGCAGCUGAUACAAAAGAGGUGGUGUGGCAUGAUCAGAUAAGGUUGAAUGAGCUCAUGAUUUUAAUUGUUACCAAACAAUGAUUGGACAGGUGUCUGAACAGAAAAGGAUUAGGAACAGAAGAAAAUGUUCUCAGUGAGAGACCACCUCUGUGGAGCAGUGUGCUUGGGAUUUAGCUCAUUAUUUCUUUAAUGCUCUACAAAUAAACUUGCCUUGCCUUUAAA
Micropterus dolomieu (smallmouth bass) is the source of this 1538-nucleotide long non-coding RNA. RefSeq lists it as uncharacterized. The transcript is spliced from 4 exons. The record is from RefSeq and is a predicted model, not a curated record. Lineage: Eukaryota; Metazoa; Chordata; Actinopteri; Centrarchiformes; Centrarchidae.